This 907-nucleotide long non-coding RNA is filed under the name Vigna radiata. Its description in RNAcentral is "long non-coding RNA (VRAD_LNC011818)". Lineage: Eukaryota; Viridiplantae; Streptophyta; Magnoliopsida; Fabales; Fabaceae. The record is from RNAcentral.
ACACAUUAGAGCAUUAAAGUACACUCGUAUUUGAGGUCAAUAGUGUUUUAUUUAACUUAUUUUAAGGAAAUGAUUGGCAAAGAUUAAAAUAUCCAAGAAAGAAAUAUGUAAUUUUAAUAUUUAAUAUGAACAAAAAAUAAAUAUUUUACUCGUUUCGUGAUUUUUAAUAAUAAUAAUAAUAAGAAUAAUAAUAAAAAUAAUAAGAAGAAAGAAGAAAUCACGGCUCAUUCACAGCUCAUAUGAAAGAAAAAAAAAACUAAAAAUGAAAGAAGAAAUCGAAUACUCAAACUAUAGAAGAAAAGACUUUAAACAAAAACUCAGAAACACAGGACCUAUUCACAGCUCAUUCAAUCUUGGCAGUUCAUUCAUUUCUCAGCCAUAUCAUUCAAUCAGAAACUGCACAAUCAUAAUUCUCAACUUUAAAUCUCAGUAUCAUCAAUCCAAGCAAGUGAAAAACAACUUCAUUUAGCCAAUGUCAGCAAUGAACAUAUUCAGAAAAGUAGAAAUCAGUUUCAGCCUCACAGGAAGUGUUUACACUUAUAUUCACUCAACUGUUUAGGCUCAUUGAUGGGUGUCGCAGCCCAUACAAAUUUGAUUGCAUAUUAGAACUGCAGUAUAGACUAGGAAGUGACUCCUAGGUCAUCUCUCAAGGACCAAUUUUGCGGUUCAAGAAUUGAAUCUAACACGGAAAGGGGGGGUUGAAAAGGUUUUGCAAUAAUUAAAGAACUCAAUAUAAAGACACAGAUGCAACAAACUAAUUUAAGCUAGCAUGGUAAUUAAACUAACACUAUUAAAAACCUUAGACAACAUUCAACAUCAAAUACUCUUGCAAACAAAUUAACAAGCACAGUUAAAAAUAAUUAAAUGCAACACUAACUCAAACACAUAAACUCAACCUAUUAACUAA